AGACGGAGGGUGCAAGCGUUGUUCGGAAUCACUGGGCGUAAAGCGCGUGUAGGCGGUUUGUUAAGUUAGUUGUUAAAGACCACGGCUCAACCGUGGAAAGGCAGCUGAUACUGAUGAGCUAGAGCGCAGAAGAGAGGAGUGGAAUUCCCGGAGUAGCGGUAAAAUGCGUAGAUCUCGGGAGGAACACCGGUUGCGAAGGCGGCUUCUUGGUCUGUGGCUGACGCUAAAGUACGAAAGCGUGGGGAGC
RNAcentral lists this ribosomal RNA (247 nucleotides) under uncultured bacterium. Its description in RNAcentral is "partial 16S ribosomal RNA". It matches the Rfam family "Bacterial small subunit ribosomal RNA", at positions 523 to 769 of the family's 1533-position model. The record is from RNAcentral.